RNAcentral lists this ribosomal RNA (1237 nucleotides) under human gut metagenome. Its description in RNAcentral is "bacterial LSU rRNA". It matches the Rfam family "Bacterial large subunit ribosomal RNA", at positions 725 to 1996 of the family's 2925-position model. The record is from RNAcentral.
GUGAUCUAUCCAUGUCCAGGUUGAAGCUGCCGUAAGAGGUAGUGGAGGACCGAACGCACAUCCGUUGAAAAGGGUGGCGAUGAGGUGUGGAUAGGGGAGAAAUUCCAAUCGAACCCGGAGAUAGCUGGUUCUCCUCGAAAUAGCUUUAGGGCUAGCCUCGUAUUAGUCUAGUGGAGGUAGAGCACUGAAUUUCCUAGGGGGCGUCAAAGCUUACCGAAGAAUAUCAAACUCCGAAUGCCAUAUAGAUGAUGUACGGGAGUCAGACUGCACGAGAUAAGUUGGGCAGUCAAAAGGGAAAGAGCCCAGACCGCCAGCUAAGGUCCCAAAGUGUGUGUUAAGUGGAAAAGGAUGUGGGAUUUCGAAGACAACUAGGAUGUUGGCUCAGAAGCAGCCAUACAUUAAAAGAGUGCGUAAUAGCUCACUAGUCGAGAGGUCCUGCGCCGAAAAUGUCCGGGGCUGAAACACAACACCGAAGCUGCGGAACCCGCAAGGGUUGGUAGAGGAGCAUUCUUAAAGGAACGAAGCAGUACCGUAAGGAGCUGUGGACUUUUAAGAAGAGAGAAUGCCGGAAUGAGUAGCGAGAGGAAGGUGGGAAUCCUUCCGGCCGAAUAUCUAAGGUUUCCAGAGUAAAGCUGAUCUGCUCUGGGUAAGUCGGGACCUAAGGCGAGGCCGAGAGGCGUAGCCGAUGGACAACAGGUUGAGAUUCCUGUACUACAGUAUGACAGAACUGUGGGGACGCAGAAGGAGAGCACUACCUGGAAUGGAAUCCAGGGGCAAGCACAGGAGGGGUACGGCUGGAAAAACCGCCGUGCAACCCAAAGGUGUGACGCAUACCGAACUAAAGUAGGGAAAUGUGUGAGCCGGCUGCCGAGAAAAGCCGCUAUUGUUUGUACUGUACCCGUACCGUAAACCGACACAGGUGGAUGAGGAGAGAAUCCUAAGGCCGACGGAAGAAGCAUUGCUAAGGAACUCGGCAAAAUGACCCUGUAACUUCGGGAGAAAGGGUGCCUCGAAAGAGGCCGCAGAGAAUUGGCCCAAGCAACUGUUUAGCAAAAACACAGGUCUAUGCAAAACCGCAAGGUGAAGUAUAUGGGCUGACGCCUGCCCGGUGCUGGAAGGUUAAGGGGAGAUGUCAGGAGACGAAGCAUCGAACUUAAGCCCCAGUAAACGGCGGCCGUAACAAUAACGGUCCUAAGGUAGCGAAAUUCCUUGUCGGGUAAGUUCCGACCCGCACGAA